Long non-coding RNA from Haplochromis burtoni (Burton's mouthbrooder), 1050 nucleotides. RefSeq lists it as uncharacterized. Lineage: Eukaryota; Metazoa; Chordata; Actinopteri; Cichliformes; Cichlidae. The transcript is spliced from 3 exons. The record is from RefSeq and is a predicted model, not a curated record.
UUUUCAAUUCAUACAUUAGAAGUUGGUUUGAAAUGAAAUUCUAAUGUCUCCUGUCUGUAUUGCCAGACGACAUCAAUGAUCACGAGAGUUUUUGUGUCUGUGAGAGAACCCUGUCAUGCAUCAUCAUCAUCAUCAUCAUCAUCAUCAUGGGUGUUUAUCUGGUUUUCGCUGUGUUCAUGAUCAAGUUUAGCUCAGGACUUUCACCUCUGUCCAAGGUUCGAGGUGAAGAAAACCUCGAAAUCAAGAGAUCAAAUGAACAGAGAGAUGGUAUCUGGAGUGAAUGUGUGUACUCCAGGGUGAAGCUACACUGAACUGAAGCCGUUACUACUUUGAUGCCACAUGUCUAGACAUGAACUUAUUACUGCAGCUUUGAAAUGUUCAGGCUGUCCUCUAGCGCAUCCUAACAUUAUCCUGCUCGAUCGAUUUGAAGCCUGCUCUUUUUUUUUUCUGUUUUUUUUGUUCUAAGUGUAAAGUUUCUUGUUAACUGAUCUUACUUAUAUUUUAGCAUCUUUUCUGUAAGACAGAGGGAUGUGAGAAAGCUGACACGCUGAUCAAAUUUCUCGCUCGUUUUCUAUCAUUUGUAUAUGAUAGGUUUUUUUUUUAUCAUUAACACAUAUUAUGCCUUUACAAAAAGCAUUUUCAGCUUUUCAUGCAGCGUAUCUCACUGUUUUACUGUAAGCACUGAGUUUAUAAAUUGUGUGUUUUUAAACUGUUGGUUUGCAUAUGUGACCUUGUGAAGUCUUCUCUUUCAGUUCAAUUCGAUUCCAUUUAUACAGCAACCAUUGCCUGAAGGUGCUUUAUAUUGUAAGUUAGACCCUAUAGAUAAUAAUCUAUACUCAAUGAUACUCUUUGUGGUUGUUUUGUGCAGAGCUUUCUUCAUUUCAAUGGCUGAUGUAAAGAGCCUUCUCUUCAUCACAGACAGGAUGAUCCAGAAAUGAUCCAUUAGUGUCACUGUUAUAAUAAACUGUUGUUCUGACAGUUACUUACUUUGAGAUCUCUGGGCCUCGUGUUGUUGGUUCACAGCAAUAGUCCCAUUUGUCACAAUCACAA